CAGGUGGUGGCAUGGUUGUCGUCAGCUCGUGUCGUGAGAUGUUGGGUUAAGUCCCGCAACGAGCGCAGCCCUCGACCUUAGUUGCCAGCAUUCAGUUGGGCACUCUAAGGUGACUGCCGGCUAAAAGUCGGAGGAAGGUGGGGGAUGACGUCAAAUCAUCAUGCCCCUUAUGACCUGGGCUACACACGUGCUACAAUGGGCGGUACAAAGGGUCGCGAACCCGCGAGGGGGAGCCAAUCCCAAAAAGCCGCUCUCAGUUCGGAUUGCAGGCUGCAACUCGCCUGCAUGAAGCCGGAAUCGCUAGUAAUCGCGGAUCAGCAUGCCGCGGUGAAUACGUUCCCGGGCCUU
This 348-nucleotide ribosomal RNA is filed under the name uncultured Anoxybacillus sp. Its description in RNAcentral is "bacterial SSU rRNA". It matches the Rfam family "Bacterial small subunit ribosomal RNA", at positions 1035 to 1382 of the family's 1533-position model. Lineage: Bacteria; Bacillati; Bacillota; Bacilli; Caryophanales; Anoxybacillaceae. The record is from RNAcentral.